Molecule: long non-coding RNA, 505 nt
Organism: Oreochromis aureus
Lineage: Eukaryota; Metazoa; Chordata; Actinopteri; Cichliformes; Cichlidae
Source: Ensembl
AUUUUCUCCCUGUCUUUUGUAUCUGUGUUCCCGCCUUUGGCUGAACACACCUGCAGAAAUCAACCACCUCUCCCAGAUGAUCUGAUCAGGAGGCCACCACAUAGGGUGGCGCCUGAGGCUCAUUCUUUGCUGAACUUUGCAGUUAGUUCAGAGCCGGUUUCUUAAUCUUGUGUGUAUGUCUUGCCUUUUUCUCAUGCAAGUAAUCCCAUUGUUCUUUUCCUCGGAUACAGACCUCUGGAUUUUUCCAUGCUCUGGAGUGUUUGGAGAGACUGCCUGAGUUGAGUGAAGAGAAUUGUAUUGUUUGGACCCCUGCAGCACCUAUGGAGGCCAAUUGCAGCCAACAAUCAAAAACUGAUUUUGAAAGCUGGGCUCCCGCCCUCGGCCCACGCACAUGCGGUGAAUCCACCUGAUGACCUGGACUCCUGGGCUAUUUAAGCUGAGACUCAGAAGGCUUCUUGGCUGGAUCGUUGAGUUACUCUCGUUCUCGGACUCGUCUGUACCCCCG